Molecule: ribosomal RNA, 253 nt
Filed under: uncultured bacterium
Lineage: Bacteria
Description: partial 16S ribosomal RNA
Rfam family: Bacterial small subunit ribosomal RNA
Source: RNAcentral
UACGGGGGGGGCAAGCGUUGUUCGGAAUUACUGGGCGUAAAGGGUUUGUAGGUGGCUUGUUAAGUCAGACGUGAAAUCCCUCAGCUUAACUGGGGAACUGCGUCUGAUACUGGCGAGCUUGAGUGCAGGAGAGGAACGCGGAAUUCCAGGUGUAGCGGUGAAAUGCGUAGAUAUCUGGAGGAACACCGGUGGCGAAGGCGGCAUCCUGGACCGACAUUGACGCUGAACGGCGAAAGCUAGGGGAGCAAACGGG